AUGGACCUCUGGUCUGGCUUCAUUGAAGUGAUCAUUAAAGCAUACCGAUGUAACAAAAGUUGGGGAGGUGGGUUCUCAUCGGAGGAUCUGAGGAUGUGCGGCCAUAGCUGCCGAAUCAGUUUGAACCCUACCUUCCCAGCCUCGUUCCCAAAUCUACUUCGUGAUUUUGCAAAGCUGGCCCAUCUAUUAAUCAGUCAUUUCAAAGUUGAAAGGAAGCACGAAGCGUACAUGAGAUUUCUCUACAGGAGCAUGAUAAAGCCUGGAGCAAGUGAAACGCCAACUCCGGAUGCCCAGGAGGCCCACAUCAAGUUCAUAAGGAAUCAUCCUGCCCUGCGCUCACUUCGUCAGAAAAGACUCUUCCUUGAAGACGUCAUCAAAGCUUUCAGAUCAAUGGGACAUGCUGAAAAGAGACGAUUUGCAAAAACCUUGCAAAAGAUAAAGGCUGGACCAGAUUGGAGGCUGAUUGCUCAGCGGAAUGCUAGCUUCUCUGGGGUGUUGUUCUUCAGAAGCGUGAAGCAUGUGUUUGUAUAUCGGUCAAGUCAAGAGGACCUGUUCCGUUUUAUUCGGAACUUUUUUGCUCACGGGUCGGACGCUGAAGGUGGCGAGGAACUUAUUGGUAACAUGGAGGACAUUGACUGUAUUGAUAUGGAGUUGAUGCCAACAUUUGUUAUACAGCUAUUCCAUCAAAUGAUAGUGAAUUCAAACAUGUCUGGGAAGUUCGCAUAUGCAUGGAAGCAUUACGGGUUGAUUGAAUGA
RNAcentral lists this ribosomal RNA (756 nucleotides) under Triticum aestivum (bread wheat). RNAcentral describes it as "partial small subunit ribosomal RNA". Lineage: Eukaryota; Viridiplantae; Streptophyta; Magnoliopsida; Poales; Poaceae. The record is from RNAcentral.